This 253-nucleotide ribosomal RNA is filed under the name uncultured bacterium. RNAcentral's name for it is "partial 16S ribosomal RNA". It matches the Rfam family "Bacterial small subunit ribosomal RNA", at positions 524 to 776 of the family's 1533-position model. The record is from RNAcentral.
UACGAAGGGGGCUAGCGUUGUUCGGAAUUACUGGGCGUAAAGCGCACGUAGGCGGACUCUUAAGUCAGGGGUGAAAUCCCGGGGCUCAACCUCGGAACUGCCUUUGAUACUGUGAGUCUCGAGACCGGAAGAGGUGAGUGGAAUUCCUAGUGUAGAGGUGAAAUUCGUAGAUAUCUGGAGGAACACCGGUGGCGAAGGCGGCAUCCUGGACCGGUAUUGACGCUGAGGCGCGAAAGCCAGGGGAGCAAACGGG